Molecule: ribosomal RNA, 402 nt
Filed under: uncultured bacterium
Lineage: Bacteria
Description: bacterial SSU rRNA
Rfam family: Bacterial small subunit ribosomal RNA
Source: RNAcentral
UGGGGAAUCUUGCACAAUGGGGGCAACCCUGAUGCAGCGACGCCGCGUGAGCGAUGAAGCCCUUCGGGGCGUAAAGCUCUUUCGACCGGAACGAUAAUGACGGUACCGGGAGAAGAAGCUGCGGCUAACUACGUGCCAGCAGCCGCGGUAAUACGUAGGCAGCAAGCGUUGUUCGGAGUUACUGGGCGUAAAGAGUGCGUAGGCGGUUUUGUAAGUUCGGUGUGAAAUCUCCCGGCUUAACUGGGAGGGUGCGCCGAAGACUGGGAAGCUGGAGUGUGGGAAAGGCAGGCGGAAUUCCUGGUGUAGCGGUGAAAUGCGUAGAUAUCAGGAGGAACACCGGCGGUGUAGACGGCUUGCUAGACCAUAACUGACGCUGAGGCACGAAAGCGUGGGUAGCAAACA